GAUGAAUGCUGGCGGCGUGCCUAAUACAUGCAAGUCGAGCGGUAAGGCCCUUCGGGUACACGAGCGGCGGAUGGCUGAGUAACGCGUGGGAACAUGCCCCAAAGUGAGGGAUAACGCACCGAAAGGUGUGCUAAUACCGCAUAUGGUCUUCGGAUUAAAGGAUUUAUCCGCUUUGGGAGUGGCCCGCGUACGAUUAGAUUGUUGGUGAGGUAACGGCUCACCAAGUCGACGAUCGUUAACUGGUCUGAGAGGAUGAUCAGUCAGACUGGAACUGAGACACGGUCCAGACUCCUACGGGAGGCAGCAGUAAGGAAUCUUCCACAAUGGGCGAAAGCCUGAUGGAGCAACGCCGCGUGCAGGAUGAAGGCCCUCGGGUCGGUAAACUGCUUUAUGAGUGAAGAAUAUGACGGUAACUCAUGAAUAAGCACCGGCUAACUACGUGCCAGCAGCCG
RNAcentral lists this ribosomal RNA (452 nucleotides) under uncultured bacterium. RNAcentral describes it as "bacterial SSU rRNA". It matches the Rfam family "Bacterial small subunit ribosomal RNA", at positions 28 to 517 of the family's 1533-position model. The record is from RNAcentral.